Molecule: ribosomal RNA, 253 nt
Filed under: uncultured bacterium
Lineage: Bacteria
Description: partial 16S ribosomal RNA
Rfam family: Bacterial small subunit ribosomal RNA
Source: RNAcentral
UACAGAGGGGGCAAGCGUUGUUCGGAAUUACUGGGCGUAAAGGGCGCGUAGGCGGCCUUCUAAGUCGAACGUGAAAUCCCCGGGCUCAACCCGGGAACUGCGUCCGAUACUGGAAGGCUUGAAUCCGGGAGAGGGAUGUGGAAUUCCAGGUGUAGCGGUGAAAUGCGUAGAUAUCUGGAGGAACACCGGUGGCGAAGGCGGGUCUCUGGACAGUUCCUGACGCUGAGGCACGAAGGUCAGGGGAGCAAACGGG